RNAcentral lists this ribosomal RNA (460 nucleotides) under uncultured bacterium. RNAcentral describes it as "partial 16S ribosomal RNA". It matches the Rfam family "Bacterial small subunit ribosomal RNA", at positions 338 to 795 of the family's 1533-position model. The record is from RNAcentral.
CCUACGGGGGGCAGCAGUGAGGAAUAUUGGUCAAUGGACGAGAGUCUGAACCAGCCAAGUAGCGUGAAGGAUGACUGCCCUAUGGGUUGUAAACUUCUUUUAUAAAGGAAUAAAACGAGGCACGUGUGCCUUUUUGCAUGUACUUUAUGAAUAAGGAUCGGCUAACUCCGUGCCAGCCGCCGCGGUAAUACGGGGGAUCCGAGCGUUAUCCGGAUUUAUUGGGUUUAAAGGGAGCGUAGAUGGGUUGUUAAGUCAGUUGUGAAAGUUUGCGGGUCAACCGUAAAAUUGCAAUUGAUACUGGCAGUCUUGAGUACAGUUGAGGUAUGCGGAAUGCGUGGUGUAGCGGUGAAAUGCUUAGAUAUCACGAAGAACCCCGAUUGCGAAGGCAGCUUACUAAACUGUGACUGACAUUGAUGCUCGAAAGUGUGGGUAUCAAACAGUAUUAGAUACCCCUGUAGUC